RNAcentral lists this ribosomal RNA (394 nucleotides) under uncultured bacterium. Its description in RNAcentral is "bacterial SSU rRNA". It matches the Rfam family "Bacterial small subunit ribosomal RNA", at positions 29 to 410 of the family's 1533-position model. The record is from RNAcentral.
AACGAACGUUAGCGGCGCGCUUAACACAUGCAAGUCGAGCGAGAAAGGGGCAACCCCGGUAAAGCGGCGCACGGGUGAGUAACACGUAGGUAAUCUACCCUCGGGUGGAGGAUAACUUUCCGAAAGGAAGGCUAAUACUGCAUGAGACCACGACCUCGAAAGGGGAUGGGGUCAAAGCCGGCCUCUGUACACAAGCUGGCGCCUGAGGAUGAGCCUGCGGCCCAUCAGCUAGUUGGUAGGGUAAUGGCCUACCAAGGCGAAGACGGGUAGCUGGUCUGAGAGGAUGAUCAGCCACACUGGAACUGAGACACGGUCCAGACUCCUACGGGAGGCAGCAGUGGGGAAUCUUGCGCAAUGGGCGAAAGCCUGACGCAGCGACGCCGCGUGAGUGAUG